RNAcentral lists this ribosomal RNA (600 nucleotides) under Streptomyces sp. Its description in RNAcentral is "bacterial SSU rRNA". It matches the Rfam family "Bacterial small subunit ribosomal RNA", at positions 39 to 658 of the family's 1533-position model. The record is from RNAcentral. Lineage: Bacteria; Bacillati; Actinomycetota; Actinomycetes; Kitasatosporales; Streptomycetaceae.
GAGGCGGGGCUAACAUGCAAGUCGAACGAUGAAGCCCUUCGGGGUGGAUUAGUGGCGAACGGGUGAGUAACACGUGGGCAAUCUGCCCUUCACUCUGGGACAAGCCCUGGAAACGGGGUCUAAUACCGGAUAACACUCCUGCCUGCAUGGGUGGGGGUUAAAAGCUCCGGCGGUGAAGGAUGAGCCCGCGGCCUAUCAGCUUGUUGGUGGGGUAAUGGCCUACCAAGGCGACGACGGGUAGCCGGCCUGAGAGGGCGACCGGCCACACUGGGACUGAGACACGGCCCAGACUCCUACGGGAGGCAGCAGUGGGGAAUAUUGCACAAUGGGCGAAAGCCUGAUGCAGCGACGCCGCGUGAGGGAUGACGGCCUUCGGGUUGUAAACCUCUUUCAGCAGGGAAGAAGCGAAAGUGACGGUACCUGCAGAAGAAGCGCCGGCUAACUACGUGCCAGCAGCCGCGGUAAUACGUAGGGCGCAAGCGUUGUCCGGAAUUAUUGGGCGUAAAGAGCUCGUAGGCGGCUUGUCGCGUCGGAUGUGAAAGCCCGGGGCUUAACCCCGGGUCUGCAUUCUAUACGGGCAGGCUAGAGUGUGGUAGGGGA